This 705-nucleotide ribosomal RNA is filed under the name Triticum aestivum (bread wheat). Its description in RNAcentral is "partial small subunit ribosomal RNA". Lineage: Eukaryota; Viridiplantae; Streptophyta; Magnoliopsida; Poales; Poaceae. The record is from RNAcentral.
AUGUGGCGUCCGGGAGGCUCCCAGAUCCAAUCGCCCGGCCUCCCCUUCUCCCCCUCCUCCUCCCUCGCCGCCGCCCGAGGGCGCGGCAGGGCGAAGCCGUGCCGUCGCCGGCGGCAGCGGGGACUCGGGGCCCUCCCGCUCGUGAGGGGCUGGUGCGGGCCGGCGCCCCCGGGCCGGAGCGUGGUGUUCGGCCGGACGUCACGGCGGGGGGUUGCGGCGCUCCGGCGAUUCCAUACCUCCACGGAAGGCGGCUUCAAGCUUUGGGGUGUCGCGGUCAUCAGGGAUGGCAGCGGCGCGACCGGAUCAGUGGCAGCACGGCCGGAUCAGGGCCCAGGCGUGGGCUUGGUCUCCGGGUCGCGGUCGGCGCGAUGGCGGGACCUGGAUCCCUCUCAUGGUGACCGUAUACUUGUUGUCAGCCGUGCCUUCUCAUCAGGCAGUUUGAUGGCCACACGUGGGUCUCUCAAUGAAAACCCUCCCAUGUGGGUUUCUGAUGAUCUAGAAAUCACCGAGGUUGUAUUUGGAGGGCCAAUUAUAGGAAAUGGUGAUAGAUUUAUUGGGAUGAACCUUCAUACGGACGAUUCCGAUGAUGUAGACGAGAGAAACGUUGUCUUCCUUCGACGGGAGAAACUUCUUAAAAGCUUGAAGAAGUUUGGGAUACUCAAGUAUGUCUUUUACGCUUCGAGUAUCUAUGAUCCUCCCAAGUAG